UUUAUUUAAAAAAAACUUCACUUAUGACAGAGAAAAAUCGUGAUUACAGACACUAUAUUUUUCUUUCUCAUUUUUAUUAAAAAUGAGAAACAAACGCCUCCUAAAUAACUAUACAAGCCUAUCAGAAAACCAGUCAAAACAUCUUACCCAGCCUAUCUACACCACAACAAUUUAUAUACGUAAAUAAGGGACUCCAAGACGAUCAUAUCGAACAAGGCCACGUGACGGUAGAUGUCAGCACUCAGCACCUAGCUUUGCCAAUGAAUCAGCCACCUAAUUUCCUUGUGAGCAAACAAUAAACAUCCACAGAGUCACACUCCGAUGUUGCUGCCUGGGCAAACACGGAAUAUCCAAACCAGUGAGCAGUUUUUCAUCUUGCUUGGAAAGAAUGUUUACCUUUUGAAUAGAUGAAGAAAUCUGCUGUAGCCAAAAAUUUGAUGGCAAGGAAAACAUCUUCCAUCAAUUCAUACUUCCCUUCCAUGCAAGCCUUCCAUCUCUUUCCAUACAAACGCACACUUCAACAGGCAUGGAAACAGCCCCAAAAGGCACCCCAACUGAGUUGAACGUCGAACACCUUAAAUCUAUCCUCUCCCACCAGCUUUGCCCCUCCCUCCACCUGACAUCCAAAGCAUUAGACACUCUCCUCCAAACCUCAGUUGCAAAAUCUCUCGUCAUGGACUGGGGCAGAGCCAGGAAAUUUGUUCAGUACGAUCAUGGACGGAUCCAGCCCGUCCCCUUCAACCCAAAUGUCCAUUAAAAAAAAAAAAUUUAAGUAAAAAUAUUUUUUUUUAUGUGCAGUAUUUUUUUAUUUUUUUUAUAUGUAUUAGCCCGUGUUGAAUUUUUUCUUGGAUUCGCCACUGAGUGCGGGCAUAAUUUAACCCAUGUUGAACAUUGUGUUUUGAUCAUGAAUUUAAUGAUGAUAAAAUUAUAAAACAAAAUCAUGGGUUUGGGCCUAAAAAUAAAACCCAUGUUUUUAUUCCACCUUCCCUAUUGCUUAAAAAAAAAAAAAAAAAAAAAAAUUUGGGCCUAAAAUUUCAGUGCGGGCAUAUGCCUGCACUUGUCUGAACGUGGCUCUGUCCAUGGUCAUGGCUAACUAAACAACGGUUACAUCUAGACAGUAGACACAACCGAAAUUCCUACCUCUCGGAGCCUUGCAUCAGCACAGACUCCGAUUCAGAGCUUCCCACAUUGCCACUGAAACCUGUUUAGGAAGAAAUUGAUGCCAUACCCAUUUAGUCCAAGACACCUCUGAUGCUCGGAUUCUAAGCACAUCCACAUCCCAACCGCUAUUUGAUGAAAAAAAAGAAGAAAAGAAACCCUGUUUCUGAGGCUUCCAUGUCAAUACAUCUUGGCCAGGUGUAAAAGAAACACAAUUCUGCAUGAUCUCCCCUGCUAACUCAGCACCCACUACCUCUUUAAGUUUCUCUACAUUCCAUCCCGACUCCAAACAAAGAUCAUUUAUUUUCAACCCAUGUUGUUCCACUUGAUCAACUUGAUGACACAAGUAGAUCGAUCAAGAGUUGAUCGAGUCAAGAUUUAUUUAUUGAAGUUAAGUGGAAUUGGAUUCGAUUAGGUACCUUCG
This 1582-nucleotide long non-coding RNA is filed under the name Olea europaea subsp. europaea. Lineage: Eukaryota; Viridiplantae; Streptophyta; Magnoliopsida; Lamiales; Oleaceae. The record is from RNAcentral.